RNAcentral lists this ribosomal RNA (401 nucleotides) under uncultured prokaryote. RNAcentral describes it as "bacterial SSU rRNA". It matches the Rfam family "Bacterial small subunit ribosomal RNA", at positions 355 to 774 of the family's 1533-position model. The record is from RNAcentral.
UGGGGAAUAUUGCACAAUGGGCGAAAGCCUGAUGCAGCAACGCCGCGUGAGCGAUGAAGGCCUUCGGGUCGUAAAGCUCUGUCCUCAAGGAAGAUAAUGACGGUACUUGAGGAGGAAGCCCCGGCUAACUACGUGCCAGCAGCCGCGGUAAUACGUAGGGGGCUAGCGUUAUCCGGAAUUACUGGGCGUAAAGGGUGCGUAGGUGGUUUCUUAAGUCAGAGGUGAAAGGCUACGGCUCAACCGUAGUAAGCCUUUGAAACUGGGAAACUUGAGUGCAGGAGAGGAGAGUGGAAUUCCUAGUGUAGCGGUGAAAUGCGUAGAUAUUAGGAGGAACACCAGCGGCGCAGGCGGCUCACUAGACAGUUUCUGACGCUAAGAUACGAAAGCGUGGGGAGCAAACA